GAUGAACGCUGGCGGCGUGCCUAAUACAUGCAAGUCGAGCGAACAGAUGAGGAGCUUGCUCCUCUGACGUUAGCGGCGGACGGGUGAGUAACACGUGGAUAACCUACCUAUAAGACUGGGAUAACUUCGGGAAGCCGGAGCUAAUACCGGAUAAUAUAUUGAACCGCAUGGUUCAAUAGUGAAAGACGGUUUUGCUGUCACUUAUAGAUGGAUCCGCGCCGCAUUAGCUAGUUGGUAAGGUAACGGCUUACCAAGGCAACGAUGCGUAGCCGACCUGAGAGGGUGAUCGGCCACACUGGAACUGAGACACGGUCCAGACUCCUACGGGAGGCAGCAGUAGGGAAUCUUCCGCAAUGGGCGAAAGCCUGACGGAGCAACGCCGCGUGAGUGAUGAAGGUCUUCGGAUCGUAAAACUCUGUUAUUGGGGAAGAACAAAUGUGUAAGUAACUAUGCACGUCUUGACGGUACCUAAUCAGAAAGCCACGGCUAACUACGUG
Molecule: ribosomal RNA, 497 nt
Filed under: uncultured bacterium
Lineage: Bacteria
Description: partial 16S ribosomal RNA
Rfam family: Bacterial small subunit ribosomal RNA
Source: RNAcentral